This 83-nucleotide microRNA precursor is filed under the name Strongylocentrotus purpuratus (purple sea urchin). RNAcentral describes it as "microRNA spu-mir-4848b precursor". The record is from miRBase by way of RNAcentral. Lineage: Eukaryota; Metazoa; Echinodermata; Echinoidea; Camarodonta; Strongylocentrotidae.
GACUGUUGGGUUGAGGCUUUGGGGCAGGAGCAGCAGCAUCCAACGUUGCACCUAAGUCUGGGAAGUUUAUCGACGUUGACCCU